ACAUGCCUACAACAUAGAAUUAAUGCAUCGGAUCGCAUUUGAACUCCACAGUUAAGCGCACUCAGGCUAGAGUAGUACUGGGAUGGGUGACCACUC
Non-coding RNA from Picea glauca (white spruce), 96 nucleotides. The record is from Rfam. Lineage: Eukaryota; Viridiplantae; Streptophyta; Pinopsida; Pinales; Pinaceae.